GAAGGUAUAGCUCAAGCGGUAGAGAAUGUCCUUAGCAUGUAUGAGGUCCUGGGUUCAAUCCCCAGUACCUCCA
This 73-nucleotide transfer RNA is filed under the name Camelus ferus (Wild Bactrian camel). It matches the Rfam family "tRNA". From Rfam's summary of the family: Transfer RNA (tRNA) molecules are approximately 80 nucleotides in length. Their secondary structure includes four short double-helical elements and three loops (D, anti-codon, and T loops). Further hydrogen bonds mediate the characteristic L-shaped molecular structure. tRNAs have two regions of fundamental functional importance: the anti-codon, which is responsible for specific mRNA codon recognition, and the 3' end, to which the tRNAs corresponding amino acid is attached (by aminoacyl-tRNA synthetases). tRNAs cope with the degeneracy of the genetic code in two manners: having more than one tRNA (with a specific anti-codon) for a particular amino acid; and 'wobble' base-pairing, i.e. permitting non-standard base-pairing at the 3rd anti-codon position. The record is from Rfam by way of RNAcentral. Lineage: Eukaryota; Metazoa; Chordata; Mammalia; Artiodactyla; Camelidae.